UACGUAGGGUGCAAGCGUUAAUCGGAAUUACUGGGCGUAAAGCGUGCGCAGGCGGUUUUGUAAGUCUGACGUGAAAGCCCCGGGCUCAACCUGGGAAUUGCAUUGGAGACUGCAAGGCUUGAAUCUGGCAGAGGGGGGUAGAAUUCCACGUGUAGCAGUGAAAUGCGUAGAGAUGUGGAGGAACACCGAUGGCGAAGGCAGCCCCCUGGGUCAAGAUUGACGCUCAUGCACGAAAGCGUGGGGAGCAAACAGG
This 253-nucleotide ribosomal RNA is filed under the name uncultured bacterium. Its description in RNAcentral is "partial 16S ribosomal RNA". It matches the Rfam family "Bacterial small subunit ribosomal RNA", at positions 524 to 776 of the family's 1533-position model. The record is from RNAcentral.